CCUCGGGUGGCUGCAGUGGGGAAUAUUGGACAAUGGGCGAAAGCCUGAUCCAGCCAUGCCGCGUGUGUGAAGAAGGCCUUCGGGUUGUAAAGCACUUUCAGUGGGGAAGAAAGCCUUGGGGCUAAUACCCUCGAGGAAGGACAUCACCCACAGAAGAAGCACCGGCUAACUCCGUGCCAGCAGCCGCGGUAAUACGGAGGGUGCGAGCGUUAAUCGGAAUUACUGGGCGUAAAGCGCGCGUAGGCGGUCUGAUAAGCCGGUUGUGAAAGCCCCGGGCUCAACCUGGGAACGGCAUCCGGAACUGUCAGGCUAGAGUGCAGGAGAGGAAGGUAGAAUUCCCGGUGUAGCGGUGAAAUGCGUAGAGAUCGGGAGGAAUACCGGUGGCGAAGGCGGCCUUCUGGACUGACACUGACGCUGAGGUGCGAAAGCGUGGGUAGCAAACAGGAUUAGAUACCCGAGUAGUC
RNAcentral lists this ribosomal RNA (464 nucleotides) under Vreelandella stevensii. Its description in RNAcentral is "partial 16S ribosomal RNA". It matches the Rfam family "Bacterial small subunit ribosomal RNA", at positions 339 to 795 of the family's 1533-position model. The record is from RNAcentral. Lineage: Bacteria; Pseudomonadati; Pseudomonadota; Gammaproteobacteria; Oceanospirillales; Halomonadaceae.